This 695-nucleotide ribosomal RNA is filed under the name uncultured bacterium. Its description in RNAcentral is "partial 16S ribosomal RNA". The record is from RNAcentral.
CCGUGAUAUUAAUACCCACAUCAUAGCGCGGCGGGCGAUGCAGUAACCCCCACCAGCAGGGGCGCUGCUUGGGCCGAUAUUUUAAAAACAAUAUACCUACAAAAGCCCAAGCGACUAAAAAUUGUAUAUACACCCGACAGCACCCAUCCCGUGCAAGGCAUGCCCUCAGACAUACUCCACAAGGCCACCCUCGCCAACGGAUGGUAUAUCUAACAUCUACACAUUUACACAGCAUAUACUACGAAUCCCGACUGCCUCUCCAUGUACUCAAGCCGCGCAGUUUCGAAAGCAGUCCCGGUAGUUAAGCCCCGGGCUUUCACUUCUGACUUGCGUGGCCGCCUACGCUCCCUUUACACCCAGUAAAUCCGGAUAACGCUUGCCCCCUACGUAUUACCGCGGCUGCUGGCACGUAUUUAGCCGGGGCUUCUUAUUCAGGUACCGUCAUCAUCUUCCCUGCUGAUAUAGCUUUACAUACCGAAAUACUUCUUCACUCACGCGGCGUCUCUGGAUCAGGGUUCACCCCAUUGUCCAUAUUCACCACUGCUGACUCCCGUAGGAGUGUGGGCCGUGUCUCAAUCCCAAUGUGGCCGUUCACCCUCUCAGGCCGGCUAAUGAUCGUCGGUCUGGUGAACCGUUACUCGCCAACUGCCUAUCAAAACCGGCCCCAUCCCAUAACUAUAAAUAUUUGACGGGUG